CGAACGCUGGCGGCGUGCCUAAUACAUGCAAGUCGAACGAACUCUGGUAUUGAUUGGUGCUUGCAUCAUGAUUUACAUUUGAGUGAGUGGCGAACUGGUGAGUAACACGUGGGAAACCUGCCCAGAAGCGGGGGAUAACACCUGGAAACAGAUGCUAAUACCGCAUAACAACUUGGACCGCAUGGUCCGAGCUUGAAAGAUGGCUUCGGCUAUCACUUUUGGAUGGUCCCGCGGCGUAUUAGCUAGAUGGUGGGGUAACGGCUCACCAUGGCAAUGAUACGUAGCCGACCUGAGAGGGUAAUCGGCCACAUUGGGACUGAGACACGGCCCAAACUCCUACGGGAGGCAGCAGUAGGGAAUCUUCCACAAUGGACGAAAGUCUGAUGGAGCAACGCCGCGUGAGUGAAGAAGGGUUUCGGCUCGUAAAACUCUGUUGUUAAAGAAGAACAUAUCUGAGAGUAACUGUUCAGGUAUUGACGGUAUUUAACCAGAAAGCCACGGCUAACUACGUGCCAGCAGCCGCGGUAAUACGUAGGUGGCAAGCGUUGUCCGGAUUUAUUGGGCGUAAAGCGAGCGCAGGCGGUUUUUUAAGUCUGAUGUGAAAGCCUUCGGCUCAACCGAAGAAGUGCAUCGGAAACUGGGAAACUUGAGUGCAGAAGAGGACAGUGGAACUCCAUGUGUAGCGGUGAAAUGCGUAGAUAUAUGGAAGAACACCAGUGGCGAAGGCGGCUGUCUGGUCUGUAACUGACGCUGAGGCUCGAAAGUAUGGGUAGCAAACAGGAUUAGAUACCCUGGUAGUCCAUACCGUAAACGAUGAAUGCUAAGUGUUGGAGGGUUUCCGCCCUUCAGUGCUGCAGCUAACGCAUUAAGCAUUCCGCCUGGGGAGUACGGCCGCAAGGCUGAAACUCAAAGGAAUUGACGGGGGCCCGCACAAGCGGUGGAGCAUGUGGUUUAAUUCGAAGCUACGCGAAGAACCUUACCAGGUCUUGACAUACUAUGCAAAUCUAAGAGAUUAGACGUUCCCUUCGGGGACAUGGAUACAGGUGGUGCAUGGUUGUCGUCAGCUCGUGUCGUGAGAUGUUGGGUUAAGUCCCGCAACGAGCGCAACCCUUAUUAUCAGUUGCCAGCAUUAAGUUGGGCACUCUGGUGAGACUGCCGGUGACAAACCGGAGGAAGGUGGGGAUGACGUCAAAUCAUCAUGCCCCUUAUGACCUGGGCUACACACGUGCUACAAUGGAUGGUACAACGAGUUGCGAACUCGCGAGAGUAAGCUAAUCUCUUAAAGCCAUUCUCAGUUCGGAUUGUAGGCUGCAACUCGCCUACAUGAAGUCGGAAUCGCUAGUAAUCGCGGAUCAGCAUGCCGCGGUGAAUACGUUCCCGGGCCUUGUACACACCGCCCGUCACACCAUGAGAGUUUGUAACACCCAAAGUCGGUGGGGUAACCUUUUAGGAACCAGCCGCCUAAGGUGGGACAGAUGAUUAGGGUGAA
Molecule: ribosomal RNA, 1489 nt
Filed under: Lactiplantibacillus plantarum
Lineage: Bacteria; Bacillati; Bacillota; Bacilli; Lactobacillales; Lactobacillaceae
Description: Lactobacillus plantarum partial 16S ribosomal RNA
Rfam family: Bacterial small subunit ribosomal RNA
Source: RNAcentral